GACGAACGCUGGCGGCGUGCCUAAUACAUGCAAGUCGAACGCUGAAGGAGGAGCUUGCUCUUCUGGAUGAGUUGCGAACGGGUGAGUAACGCGUAGGUAACCUGCCUGGUAGCGGGGGAUAACUGUUGGAAACGAUAGCUAAUACCGCAUAAAAUUGAUUAUUGCAUGAUAGUCAAUGGAAAGGUGCAAUUGAAUCACUACCAGAUGGACCUGCGUUGUAUUAGCUAGGUGGUGAGGUAACGGCUCACCAAGGCAACGAUACAUAGCCGACCUGAGAGGGUGGUCGGCCCACCUGGGAAUGGGACACGGCCCAGACUCCUACGGGAGGCAGCAGUAGGGAAUCUUCGGCAAUGGACGGAAGUCUGACCGCGCAACGCCGCGUGAGUGAAGAAGGUUUUCGGAUCGUAAAGCUCUGUUGUGAGGGAAGAACGAGUGUGAGAGUGGAAAGUUCACACUGUGACGGUAGCUUACCAGAAAGGGACGGCUAACUACGUG
Molecule: ribosomal RNA, 495 nt
Filed under: uncultured bacterium
Lineage: Bacteria
Description: partial 16S ribosomal RNA
Rfam family: Bacterial small subunit ribosomal RNA
Source: RNAcentral